CUACUUCCGGCUACCCCGGCUACUCCUGCUCAGCAUGGCUGCUUUGGCGACUCUUCUCUUCAGUGAGUGGGUGUCCGGAGGCUGCACUGCAGCGCAGCCGCUUGGGCGGGCGGCCAGUGGCGACUACAGUGAGUGCUGGGAUGAGGGGACCUGGGGGACCAGAAGCUGGGCUAGGUCCUCACAGAUCUGUUUUUCUCCACACAGGCAGGGACUGGCUGCCAACCCCUCCGGCUACGGGCCCCUUACAGAGCUCCCAGACUGGUCAUAUGCGGGUAAGCGCUGAUCUGACAGUUAACUCCACAGGGGAGAUUUUCACCCAGAGGGAACGCCCCUGGACAGGGAGCUGGGGGUAUCAAGGUGGGGGCGUGUAAAAGUGUUUAACUUUUUAUUUGGAAAACGGAAUUUGGGGAAAGAAGCCCUCUUGUUUAUUUUGUAGACUGCAUUUCGACUAAAGAAGGUAAAGCUAAACAGGAUCUUGGCUUGUGGAGAUAAGCAGAAGAUAAUUCUGACUUGGGGCCGCCAGGGUGGAAGGGGGUGACAAGACUUCUGCGUUUUUCAAGGGGGACAUUUUUUUUAACCAAGAACCACUUUUCUCUGUGGUUAGUGAAUUUUCAGUAUUUGGUACCAAAUGCAGGGAGAGCUCUUUGAAAAGCUGCAGAAAUAAGCGUCUCAGAGGGGUAGAAGAAUGAAGACUAUGGAUGGCAGGCUCCCUUCAGAAAAUUCUUUUACCUUUACUUACAAAAGAGAGACAGAGGGAGAAUGGAUAUUAGCCCUAGAAAGGAGGACCUUAGAGAAGUUGAAGCUACUCCCCGUUCUCCUUAUGAGACUCCAGUGUACAAGUAGGAAAUUUGAGGCCUACAGAAGUGAAUUGCACAUGAUCAUACAGCUAGGUAGUAGCAAAGCCAAGACUAGAACAUAGGCCAGUCCUCCUUGACAACACAGAGAUGUGAAUAUUUAAUAUCCUAUUGUUGAUCUCUAGGAGUAUGAUCCUGCUUAAUUGGAUAAUUGGUGACUGAGGAAGAUGGUGAAGAUUUUUUCUACUCGUUAUUUACUGUAAGAAGCCUGGCAUCUCCUUGUAGUAGUAUGGACUAUUGGAAAGAUUCUGGAAUUACAUAUGACUGCUUCUUUUUUUUUUUUUUUUUUUGAGAUGGGGUCUUGCCCUGUCACCCAGGCUGAAGUGCAGUGGCAUGAUCAUUGCUCACUGCAGCCUUGAUCUCCUGGGCUCAAGCAGUCCUCCCACCUCAGCCCCCUAAGUAGGUGGGACCACAGACACACACCUGGCUAAUUUUUUUUUUUUUUAACUUUUAGUAGAGACAGGGUCUUGCUAUGUUGCCCAAGCUGGUCUUGAACUCCUGGCUAAUUUUUUUUUUUUAACUUUAGUAGAGACAGGGUCUUGCUAUGUUGCCCAAGCUGGUCUUGAACUCCUUAGCUCAAGUGAUCCACCUCAGCCUCCCAAAGUGCUGGGAUUACAGGCAUGAGCCACCGCGCCCAGCCUAUGGACCUUAUUCUUAAUCCAGGCUUUCCUUCUCGCUAAGUCUGUGGUCUUGGACAAAUUACUUAAUUUUAUCUUAGUCUCAGUUUCCAUAUCUGUAAAAGAAUACCUAACUCAUGUGGUUCUUAUAAGGAUAAAAUGAAACAACCAAUGUAAAACAUGUGGCAUACACAAUAUUGGUUCCCCUUCCUGGUAAAUAACACCUCUUCUGUGUCUUGCCUUCAAACUUUUGGGCACUCUGUUUCUUUCUUUGCAGAAAGUAAACUACUUGGGUCAGAUACUGCAUCUUUUCAGCAAGUCAGAAGAUAUUUAUGGAUUUUUAUUAACAUGCUUAUGUGCUACACUAUACUGUGAAUAGCAAAAGCUAGCGACACAGUCCCUGACCCAAAGAACUUAAAGUCUAACUGGGACAAAGCAUGGAUGUUUUAAAAAUUAAGUAAUAGUAUUCAGGUUUCAAUACUCUGCCCCUUUCCAAAAGGACCUGAGGUAGCUAAAUAACACUU
RNAcentral lists this small RNA (1995 nucleotides) under Pongo abelii (Sumatran orangutan). Its description in RNAcentral is "retained intron". The record is from RNAcentral. Lineage: Eukaryota; Metazoa; Chordata; Mammalia; Primates; Hominidae.